This 508-nucleotide ribosomal RNA is filed under the name uncultured bacterium. RNAcentral's name for it is "partial 16S ribosomal RNA". It matches the Rfam family "Bacterial small subunit ribosomal RNA", at positions 28 to 507 of the family's 1533-position model. The record is from RNAcentral.
GACGAACGCUGGCGGCGUGCCUAAUACAUGCAAGUCGAACGCUUCUUUCCUCCCGAGUGCUUGCACUCAAUUGGAAAGAGGAGUGGCGGACGGGUGAGUAACACGUGGGUAACCUACCCAUCAGAGGGGGAUAACACUUGGAAACAGGUGCUAAUACCGCAUAAAAGUUUAUGCCGCAUGGCAUAAGAGUGAAAGGCGCUUUCGGGGGUCGCUGAUGGAUGGACCCGCGGUGCAUUAGCUAGUUGGUGAGGUAACGGCUCACCAAGGCCACGAUGCAUAGCCGACCUGAGAGGGUGAUCGGCCACACUGGGACUGAGACACGGCCCAGACUCCUACGGGAGGCAGCAGUAGGGAAUCUUCGGCAAAGGACGAAAGUCUGACCGAGCAACGCCGCGUGAGUGAAGAAGGUUUUCGGAUCGUAAAACUCUGUUGUUAGAGAAGAACAAGGACGUUAGUAACUGAACGUCCCCUGACGGUAUCUAACCAGAAAGCCACGGCUAACUACGUG